Molecule: ribosomal RNA, 333 nt
Filed under: uncultured bacterium
Lineage: Bacteria
Description: bacterial SSU rRNA
Rfam family: Bacterial small subunit ribosomal RNA
Source: RNAcentral
GCAUUAUUUGACGUUAGCGACAGAAGAAGCACCGGCUAACUCCGUGCCAGCAGCCGCGGUAAUACGGAGGGUGCGAGCGUUAAUCGGAAUUACUGGGCGUAAAGCGCAUGCAGGUGGUUUGUUAAGUCAGAUGUGAAAGCCCGGGGCGUCAACCUCGGAAUAGCAUUUGAAACUGGCAGACUAGAGUACUGUAGAGGGGGUAGAAUUUCAGGUGUAGCGGUGAAAUGCGUAGAGAUCUGAAGGAAUACCGGUGGCGAAGGCGGCCCCCUCGGACAGAUACUGACACUCAGAUGCGAAAGCGUGGGGAGCAAACAGGAUUAGAUACCCUGGUAG